This 174-nucleotide long non-coding RNA is filed under the name Capra hircus (goat). Its description in RNAcentral is "lncRNA (ENSCHIG00000006884.1)". Lineage: Eukaryota; Metazoa; Chordata; Mammalia; Artiodactyla; Bovidae. The record is from RNAcentral.
CUAUCUUCUCAGAGUUUGCUCAAAUUCAUGACCAUUGAGUGAGUAAUACCUGCAAGGCUCCUUUGUCUGUCCUGAGAACACAGAUAAAGCCUCAUUAAGAUUCCCUGACAUUCAGCUCAAAUUUCCUGUAUGAGUCAAAACAUACUAAAAGUUUAAACCGUUAUUGGAACCUGG